CUUUCUUUAGACAGUUGUCAUGGGGAGAGUUUUCAUGGGUUGUUGUCAUAGGUUGUUGUCAUGGGUUGUUGUCAUAUGGAGUUGUCAUGGGUUGUUGUCAUGGGGAGAGUUGUCAUGGGUUGUUGUCAUAGGGAGAGUUGUCAUGGGUUGUUGUCAUAGGGAGAGUUGUCAUGGGAGAGUUGUCAUGGAAGAGUUGUCAUGGGGAGUUGUCAUGGAAGAGUUGUCAUGGUGGAGUUGUCAUGAAGAUAUAGUGGCUCUAAGCCUUUCUUUAGACAGUUGUCAUGGGGAGAGUUGUCAUGGGUUGUUGUCAUAGGUUGUCAUGGGGAGAGUUGUCAUGGAAGAGUUGUCAUGGAGGAGUUGUCAUGGAGGAGUUGUCAUGGAGGAUUUGUCAUGAAGAGUUGCAUGGGAGAGUUGUAAUAGAGGAGUUGACAUGGAGGA
This is a long non-coding RNA of Oncorhynchus tshawytscha (Chinook salmon), 438 nucleotides long. Lineage: Eukaryota; Metazoa; Chordata; Actinopteri; Salmoniformes; Salmonidae. The record is from Ensembl.